CUGUCUGAAGAUCGGGGGACCACCCUCGAAGGCUAAGUACUCCUUGCUGACCGAUAGCGAACCAGUACCGUGAGGGAAAGGUGAAAAGCACCCCGACAAGGGGAGUGAAAGAGAACCUGAAACCGGUUGCCUACAAACAGUCGGAGCCAUCAUUGGUGACGGCGUACCUUUUGUAUAAUGGGUCAACGACUUGGUCUCACGAGCAAGCUUAAGCCGUUAGGCGGAGGCGCAGCGAAAGCGAGUCUGAACAGGGCGUUCAGUUCGUGGGAUCAGACCCGAAACCGAGUGAUCUAGGCAUGUCCAGGAUGAAGGUGCAGUAACAUGCACUGGAGGUCCGAACCCACACCUGUUGAAAAAGGUCGGGAUGAGGUGUGCCUAGGGGUGAAAGGCCAAUCAAACUCGGAGAUAGCUGGUUCUCCGCGAAAACUAUUUAGGUAGUGCGUCAGACGAAUACCACCGGGGGUAGAGCACUGGAUGGGUAAUGGGGACCCACAGUCUUACUGAUCCUAACCAAACUCCGAAUACCGGUGAGUACUAUCUGGCAGACAGACGUCGGGUGCUAACGUCCGGCGUCGAGAGGGAAACAACCCUGACCUGCAGCUAAGGCCCCCAAUUCGUGGCUAAGUGGGAAAGCAUGUGGGACUUCCAAAACAACCAGGAGGUUGGCUUAGAAGCAGCCAUCCUUUAAAGAUAGCGUAACAGCUCACUGGUCUAAGUAAGAGGUCCUGCGGCGAAGAUGUAACGAG
Molecule: ribosomal RNA, 746 nt
Filed under: uncultured Pelagophyceae
Lineage: Eukaryota; Pelagophyceae
Description: partial Bacterial large subunit ribosomal RNA
Rfam family: Bacterial large subunit ribosomal RNA
Source: RNAcentral